This 85-nucleotide transfer RNA is filed under the name Spiroplasma phoeniceum. RNAcentral describes it as "tRNA-Leu". It matches the Rfam family "tRNA". From Rfam's summary of the family: Transfer RNA (tRNA) molecules are approximately 80 nucleotides in length. Their secondary structure includes four short double-helical elements and three loops (D, anti-codon, and T loops). Lineage: Bacteria; Bacillati; Mycoplasmatota; Mollicutes; Entomoplasmatales; Spiroplasmataceae. The record is from RNAcentral. RNAcentral also lists the same sequence under 5 other names.
CCGGGUGUGGCGGAAUUGGCAGACGCACCAGACUUAGGAUCUGGCGGGGUAACUCGUGGGGGUUCAAGUCCCUUCACCCGGACCA